CUUACUGGCAAGGCCCUUAUCAGCCAAGGACUCUAGUUAUAAACCUAGGGUGAACCUGCCCAGCCCACAGCAGAUGAUCCAUGAAUGCUCUGUCUCAAGGCCCCAGGCCAGAGUGUCAUUAGUCAGCAUCAGUCCCACUUGGAAAAGUACACAUCUGAGUUGUGAUAGUUGUCGCAUUUAAAAUCUUUGUUUUCCUCCCUGAGACAGAGUUUCUCUGUGUAGCUCUGACUGCCUUGGAACUCAUUCUGUAGGCUAGGCUGGCUCGAACUCAAGAGAUCUGCCUCCCAAGUGCUGGGAUUAAAGAUGUGUGUUACCACUGCCCCAACUAUUUUCAUUUGCUGUUUUGAGACAGGGUCUCUUUCUAUAGGUCUGGCUGCCCUGGAACUCUGUGUAGACCAGGCUAACCUCUGCCUCCCGUGCUGGUGUUAAAGGUGUGUGCCACCAUGACUUUAGGAUUUUUUUAGUUUUAAUUUUUUUCUUUUGGUUUUUCAAGACAGGAUUUCUUUGCUGUCCUAGAACUAGCUCUGUAGACCAGGCUGGCCUAAAACUCACAGAGAUCCACCUGCCUCUGCCUUCUGAGUGCUGGGGUUAAAGGUGUGUGUCACCACACCUUUAGGAUUUUUUUUUUUAAAGGGAAUGCUUUGAAAGAAAAUAGUUUACCACAUAGAUCAGAAAACAAAGUCUUUGAAGGGCAUGUCGUAGUGCAGUGGACAAAACAGAGUGUCACUAAUAUGGCUCCUAAGAACUAACACGUGCAGCAGGCUGAGAAAUAAAGCCUGUGCUGUAUACUGACCUGAGCUUCAGAUCCUCAGCCUAUCGUCCUACCAUCUUCAGGUCCAGAAGGUGGUGCUGAGUUUUGCAGCCUGGAUGGCAUAUCUCCUGGCAUCUCCUCCUUUCUUCUUCUCAGAGCUCUCUCUGCUCGGAAGUCCUGCCUAUACCUCCUGCUUAACUAUUGGUUGUUCGGCUUUUUAUUGCACCAGUUAUAACAAUACCCGUUCACCCAGUGUACAGAUAUCCCUCAACAGAUGUGUUCAAGACCCUCCUAUGGGCUCUGAAGCCUCUGACACAACAGUUAGACCCAUAGAGUGGCUUAAGAGACCCUUCUGCUUUGGGGACCCACACAGAUUCCUCAGUGCCUUCAACAACAUUUUCCACCUGUAGUUAUGAAUAACUAAAUUUUUUUGAUUGGGUCUUCUUUCUUCCUUAACACCAUACUUCUGGAAAGAAAACUCAACAGAGUGACCAGUUUCCCUGAAAUAAGGACCUGAAGGGACAUGUAAAGCCAGGUUGCUCUCAGCCUUGCUUGGCCGCCAAAAGUAGAUCUUGAACUUGGGAUCUUCUGGCCUUAGAAGACGUUGUGGUGCGCACCUGUAACCUUGCAGUGAGGGGCUGAUGCAGGAGGAUGCUGGUCCAAGGCUUUACUUUGAACUACAUGAGACCCUGCCUCACAAAUGGAGGAAGAGAGAAGAGAAGAAAAGAGAGAAGAAAGAGAAAAAAUGGAAGGCUACUUGGGUUAAAAACCAAAGACCCUUUCAGUGAGAUGUGAAGAUAUUAUAGAGAGGCCAAGAGUCUAGACCCUGCACUUGGGACAGUUUACUCUCACUCCUACUACUUAAGGGAAAGAAGCAAAGCAAAAGAGGUCUUCCAUUUGAUGGGAAAUAGACAGCUGGGACCAUGGCUGCCGCAGCCUCCAGGAAGCAACUGUGCAGGGCAGUGCUGUGUUGGAAAGACAGGGCCAGCUAUAGGAGUUGUAAAUGCUUUAAUAGCCACAUUUAAGAAAUGGGUAAAUAAAAAGAUAAACCUAGCAUGAUGGCACACCCUUGUAACCCUAGCACUCAGGAAGUGGAGGCAGGGGGAUCAGGAGUUCAAGGACAGCCUUGGCUGCAUAUCCAUUUAAGGACAGUCAGGGCUACAUGAGACCUUGCCUCAAAACCCCUAAAAAAUAGAAUAAAAUAAACAAUUAAGAAAUAGGUAGGAGGGCUGGAGAGAUGACUCGGUGAUUAAGAUCACUUGCUAUACAGUCAUGAGGACAGGUGGCAGGUACGUGCCUGUCACUCCUGCUCUAGAGGGGUGGAGACGGGAAGAUCCCUUGGGCGUGCUGGCUUCCAGCCUAGCCAUGCUCCAGGUUCAGAGAGGGACCCUAACUCAACAGAAUCAGCAUAGAGUAUAGAGGAGAAGGGACAAGGACCUCUUUUGGCUUCUGGUCAUAGGUGAGCACAUGCAUACAGAUAUGUUCACACAGACAUACACAAAUAAAAAAUAAACUUUUACAACAAAAAUAGGGAAAAUUAACUUUAUUUAAUAAAAACUCCAAAA
RNAcentral lists this long non-coding RNA (2316 nucleotides) under Cricetulus griseus (Chinese hamster). RNAcentral describes it as "lncRNA (ENSCGRG00015031067.1)". The record is from RNAcentral. Lineage: Eukaryota; Metazoa; Chordata; Mammalia; Rodentia; Cricetidae.